UAGAGUAAUGCGUGACCAACCUGCCCCAUGCUCCAGAAUAGCUCUUGGAAACGGGUGGUAAUGCUGGAUGCUCCAACUUGACGCAUGUCUUGUUGGGAAAGUGUUUAGUGGCAUGGGAUGGGGUCGCGUCCUAUCAGCUUGUAGGCGGGGUAAUGGCCCACCUAGGCUUCGACGGGUAGCCGGCCUGAGAGGGCGGACGGCCACAUUGGGACUGAGAUACGGCCCAGACUCCUACGGGAGGCAGCAGCU
Molecule: ribosomal RNA, 249 nt
Filed under: uncultured Gardnerella sp.
Lineage: Bacteria; Bacillati; Actinomycetota; Actinomycetes; Bifidobacteriales; Bifidobacteriaceae
Description: partial 16S ribosomal RNA
Rfam family: Bacterial small subunit ribosomal RNA
Source: RNAcentral